RNAcentral lists this transfer RNA (75 nucleotides) under Flavobacteriales bacterium. RNAcentral describes it as "tRNA-Gly". It matches the Rfam family "tRNA". Rfam says of the family: Transfer RNA (tRNA) molecules are approximately 80 nucleotides in length. Their secondary structure includes four short double-helical elements and three loops (D, anti-codon, and T loops). Lineage: Bacteria; Pseudomonadati; Bacteroidota; Flavobacteriia; Flavobacteriales. The record is from RNAcentral.
GCGAAAGUAGCUCAGUGGUAGAGCACAACCUUGCCAAGGUUGGGGUCGCGAGUUCGAAUCUCGUUUUUCGCUCCA